RNAcentral lists this small nuclear RNA (317 nucleotides) under Rattus norvegicus (Norway rat). Its description in RNAcentral is "7SK RNA". It matches the Rfam family "7SK RNA". From Rfam's summary of the family: 7SK was discovered as an abundant small nuclear RNA in the mid-70s but a possible function has only recently been suggested. Two independent studies have found that 7SK RNA binds the CDK9/cyclin T complex (known as elongation factor P-TEFb). Lineage: Eukaryota; Metazoa; Chordata; Mammalia; Rodentia; Muridae. The record is from Rfam by way of RNAcentral.
GGAUGUGAGGGCGAUCUGGCUGCGACAUCUGUCACCCCAUUGAUCACCAGGGUUGAUUCGGCUGAUCUGGCUGGCUAGGCGGGUGUCCCCUUCCUCCCUCACCGCUCCAUGUGCGUCCCUCCCGAAGCUGCGCGCUCGGUCGAAGAGGACGACCUUCCCCGAAUAGAGGAGGACCGGUCUUCGGUCAAGGGUAUACGAGUAGCUGCGCUCCCCUGCUAGAACCUCCAAAAACUCAGGUGACUGCAGAUGCUGGUGAGGAUGUGGAGAAAGAGAAACACUCCUCUAUUGUUGGUGGGAUUGCAGAUUGUACAACCAUU